GCUGGGCAUGGUGGCGCAUGCCUGUAGUCCCAGCUACUCGGGAGGCUGAGGCAGGAGAAUUGCUUGAACCCAGGAGGGUGAGGUUGCAGUGAGCCGAGAUCGCACCAUUGCACUCCAACCUGGGUAACAAGAGCAAAACUCUGUCUCAA
This is an unclassified non-coding RNA of Callithrix jacchus (white-tufted-ear marmoset), 149 nucleotides long. It matches the Rfam family "Metazoan signal recognition particle RNA". From Rfam's summary of the family: The signal recognition particle (SRP) is a universally conserved ribonucleoprotein. It is involved in the co-translational targeting of proteins to membranes. NCBI's taxonomy places the organism in Eukaryota, Metazoa, Chordata, Mammalia, Primates, Cebidae. The record is from Ensembl.